GACGAACCGUGCGAACGUUAUUCGGAAUCACUGGGCUUAAAGCGCGUGUAGGCGGGCCGCCACGUCGGCUGCUGAAAUCCCCCGGCUCAACCGGGGAACGGGCACCGAUACGAGCGGCCUGGAGGGGGGUAGGGGGGUCUGGAACUUCCGGUGGAGCGGUGAAAUGCGUUGAGAUCGGAAGGAACGCCCGUGGCGAAAGCGAGGCCCUGGACCCUUUCUGACGCUGAGACGCGAAAGCCAGGGGAGCGAACGGG
This 254-nucleotide ribosomal RNA is filed under the name uncultured bacterium. Its description in RNAcentral is "partial 16S ribosomal RNA". It matches the Rfam family "Bacterial small subunit ribosomal RNA", at positions 524 to 776 of the family's 1533-position model. The record is from RNAcentral.